Molecule: long non-coding RNA, 110 nt
Organism: Etheostoma cragini (Arkansas darter)
Lineage: Eukaryota; Metazoa; Chordata; Actinopteri; Perciformes; Percidae
Exons: 3
Source: RefSeq, a predicted model, not a curated record
UUUCCAUGCAGGACUUUGACUUGUAACAGAGUAAUUUAACAGCGUGGUAUUAGUAUGUUUACUGUAGUAAAGGAUAUGAAGACUAUUCUUCCACCGCUGGUGACCAAAUG